RNAcentral lists this transfer RNA (77 nucleotides) under Candidatus Theseobacter exili. Its description in RNAcentral is "tRNA-Arg". It matches the Rfam family "tRNA". Rfam says of the family: Transfer RNA (tRNA) molecules are approximately 80 nucleotides in length. Their secondary structure includes four short double-helical elements and three loops (D, anti-codon, and T loops). Further hydrogen bonds mediate the characteristic L-shaped molecular structure. tRNAs have two regions of fundamental functional importance: the anti-codon, which is responsible for specific mRNA codon recognition, and the 3' end, to which the tRNAs corresponding amino acid is attached (by aminoacyl-tRNA synthetases). tRNAs cope with the degeneracy of the genetic code in two manners: having more than one tRNA (with a specific anti-codon) for a particular amino acid; and 'wobble' base-pairing, i.e. permitting non-standard base-pairing at the 3rd anti-codon position. The record is from RNAcentral. Lineage: Bacteria; Pseudomonadati; Candidatus Auribacterota; Candidatus Auribacteria; Candidatus Theseobacterales; Candidatus Theseobacteraceae.
GCGCCCAUAGCUCAGCUGGAUAGAGUGUCUGACUACGAAUCAGAAGGUCGCAGGUUCGAAUCCUGCUGGGCGCGCCA